RNAcentral lists this ribosomal RNA (327 nucleotides) under uncultured eukaryote. Its description in RNAcentral is "partial 18S ribosomal RNA". It matches the Rfam family "Eukaryotic small subunit ribosomal RNA", at positions 1470 to 1796 of the family's 1831-position model. The record is from RNAcentral.
CCCUUAGAUGUUCUGGGCCGCACGCGCGCUACACUGACGAAUGCAACGAGCUUAUAACCUUGGCCGAAAGGUCUGGGUAAUCUCCAAAUUUCGUCGUGAUGGGGAUAGAUUAUUGCAAUUAUUAAUCUUCAACGAGGAAUGCCUAGUAAGCGCAAGUCAUCAGCUUGCGUUGAUUACGUCCCUGCCCUUUGUACACACCGCCCGCCGCUCCUACCGAUUGAAUGGUCCGGUGAAGCGUUCGGACCGUGGCCUUUGGACGGUUCGCCGUCUGUUGGCUGCGGGAAGUUCGUUAAACCUUNUNAUUUAGNGGAAGGAGAANUCGUANCA